Molecule: ribosomal RNA, 434 nt
Filed under: uncultured Lachnospiraceae bacterium
Lineage: Bacteria; Bacillati; Bacillota; Clostridia; Lachnospirales; Lachnospiraceae
Description: partial 16S ribosomal RNA
Rfam family: Bacterial small subunit ribosomal RNA
Source: RNAcentral
ACGGAAGGCAGCAGUGGGGAAUAUUGGACAAUGGGGGGAACCCUGAUCCAGCGACGCCGCGUGAGUGAAGAAGUAUUUCGGUAUGUAAAGCUCUAUCAGCAGGGAAGAUGAUGACGGUACCUGACUAAGAAGCACCGGCUAAAUACGUGCCAGCAGCCGCGGUAAUACGUAUGGUGCAAGCGUUAUCCGGAUUUACUGGGUGUAAAGGGAGCGUAGACGGCGAUGCAAGUCUGAUGUGAAAGCCCGGGGCUCAACCCCGGCACUGCAUUGGAAACUGUGUUGCUAGAGUGCAGGAGAGGUAAGUGGAAUUCCUAGUGUAGCGGUGAAAUGCGUAGAUAUUAGGAGGAACACCAGUGGCGAAGGCGGCUUACUGGACUGUAACUGACGUUGAGGCUCGAAAGCGUGGGGAGCAAACAGGAUUAGAUACCCUGGUA